AACGAACGCUGGCGGCAUGCCUAACACAUGCAAGUCGAACGAGACCUUCGGGUCUAGUGGCGCACGGGUGCGUAACGCGUGGGAAUCUGCCCUUCGGUUGGGAAUAACUGAGAGAAAUUUCAGCUAAUACCUUAUAAUGUCUUCGGACCAAAGAUUUAUCGCCGAGGGAUGAGCCCGCGUAGGAUUAGGUAGUUGGUGGGGUAAUGGCCUACCAAGCCGACGAUCCUUAGCUGGUCUGAGAGGAUGAUCAGCCACACUGGGACUGAGACACGGCCCAGACUCCUACGGGAGGCAGCAGUGGGGAAUAUUGGACAAUGGGCGAAAGCCUGAACCAGCAAUGCCGCGUGAGUGAUGAAGGCCUUAGGGUUGUAAAGCUCUUUUACCCGGGAUGAUAAUGACAGUACCGGGAGAAUAAGCUCCGGCUAACUCCGUG
This 433-nucleotide ribosomal RNA is filed under the name uncultured bacterium. Its description in RNAcentral is "partial 16S ribosomal RNA". It matches the Rfam family "Bacterial small subunit ribosomal RNA", at positions 29 to 507 of the family's 1533-position model. The record is from RNAcentral.